Long non-coding RNA from Cucumis melo (muskmelon), 978 nucleotides. RefSeq lists it as uncharacterized. NCBI's taxonomy places the organism in Eukaryota, Viridiplantae, Streptophyta, Magnoliopsida, Cucurbitales, Cucurbitaceae. The transcript is spliced from 4 exons. The record is from RefSeq and is a predicted model, not a curated record.
AGAAAGAGGGGAAAGAAAAGAGAAAAGGAAGAGGAAAACAAAAAAACCCUAGCCGCCGCCGCCGCUCGCCGUCGCCGCCACCGGACUUUAGCCAACGCGUAAAGGAGCCCAGCCGCAGUCACGAGCCGAGCCUCCUCGUCUAUCCGGUGUCGCCGCAUCGAGUCGGGAAGUUCGAAGCCGCGCUCGCCAGCCGUCGCCUUCGCGGAUCGCCGCCGCGUCUGCCAGCCGAACCCGCGUCUGCUUCGCCGAUGUUCACACGCCCAGCCGAAGCCGCGUCCGCUUUGCCGAUGUUCACACGCCCAGCCGCGUCGCGCCGCUUCGAUUAGACGCAGCGUAGCCCAAGCGUUCGUCUGCAGCCGUCGUGCCACCCGAAUCCGAAAGCCAGCGCCUCGUUGCGCGAAGACCCGACCCGGCCGAAGCUUCCGCUCCGCGACCCGAAACCGACGCGUGCCUCCGACCCGGAACCCACGCCGCGUGCACCUGUGUAGCCGAGCAGCGCCUGCGUGCGAGCCGCACGUGCGCAACCUCUGUACUGAGCUGAGCCGCGCCUGUCUACACCAUGAGCCGCGCCUGCCUGCGCCGCGAGCCGAGCCGAUCCCCAACCUUCAAGCCGAGCCGGUCCCUGUCCUUUUUCCAGCCGAGCCGCCAAGCCUUGUUUGGCUUCUUCCAUCCAAUUUUUGGGGCGUCUUGGACCAAGUAACUGCUGCAGCGUGGGAUUUCUUUAGUAGGGGCUCAAGCAUUGCAACCUCUUUCUAGGUUAGGACCUCGUUGCUUGGAAAGCACACUUGUCUUGCGGUUAGGACUCGCCAAGUAAAUCUCCAGAUAGAGGACGAGGUAAGGGCAAAGGCAAGCUGGCGAGCGACCAGAAGUGACCGUGGCGAGCCAUAGGGAUUUCUGCUUCCGCUUACUCUUGUUUUGACGUUAGUACCUGAGUUUUAGUCUUCUUCACUAUUUGCUACUUCCUUUUUAAAAUGUAGA